CCUACGGGAGGCAGCAGUGGGGAAUAUUGCACAAUGGGCGCAAGCCUGAUGCAGCCAUGCCGCGUGUAUGAAGAAGGCCUUAGGGUUGUAAAGUACUUUCAGCGGGGAGGAAGGUGAUAAGGUUAAUACCCUUGUCAAUUGACGUUACCCGCAGAAGAAGCACCGGCUAACUCCGUGCCAGCAGCCGCGGUAAUACGGAGGGUGCAAGCGUUAAUCGGAAUUACUGGGCGUAAAGCGCACGCAGGCGGUCAAUUAAGUCAGAUGUGAAAGCCCCGAGCUUAACUUGGGAAUUGCAUCUGAAACUGGUUGGCUAGAGUCUUGUAGAGGGGGGUAGAAUUCCAUGUGUAGCGGUGAAAUGCGUAGAGAUGUGGAGGAAUACCGGUGGCGAAGGCGGCCCCCUGGACAAAGACUGACGCUCAGGUGCGAAAGCGUGGGGAGCAAACAGGAUUAGAUACCCUUGUAGUC
This 465-nucleotide ribosomal RNA is filed under the name uncultured bacterium. RNAcentral describes it as "partial 16S ribosomal RNA". It matches the Rfam family "Bacterial small subunit ribosomal RNA", at positions 338 to 795 of the family's 1533-position model. The record is from RNAcentral.